This 402-nucleotide ribosomal RNA is filed under the name uncultured bacterium. RNAcentral describes it as "partial 16S ribosomal RNA". It matches the Rfam family "Bacterial small subunit ribosomal RNA", at positions 28 to 525 of the family's 1533-position model. The record is from RNAcentral.
GACGAACGCUGGCGGCGUGCCUAAUACAUGCAAGUCGAACGCAGUGGGGACGGGUGAGUAACACGUGGGUAACCUCCCAUCAGAGGGGAUAACACUUGGAAACAGGUGCUAAACCGAUACUGAUGGAUGGACCCGCGGUGCAUUAGCUAGUUGGUGAGGUAACGGCUCACCAAGGCCACGAUGCAUAGCGGACCUAGGGGGGUGAUCGGCCACAGUGGGACUGAGAAAGGGCCCAGACUCCUAGGGGAGGCAGAAGAAGGGAAUCUUCGGAAAUGGACGAAAGUCGGACCGAGAAACGCCGCGUGAGUGAAAAAGGUUUUGGGAUCGUAAAACUCUGUUGUUAGAGAAGGGGUAUCUACCCAGAAAGCCACGGCUAAUUACGUGCCAGCAGCGGCGGUAAUC